UGGGGAAUAUUGCACAAUGGGCGCAAGCCUGAUGCAGCAACGCCGCGUGAGUGAUGAAGGUUCUCGGAUCGUAGAGCUCUGUUGCCAGGGAAGAAUGUCGUGGGGAGUAACUGCCCUGCGAAUGACGGUACCUGAGAAGAAAGCCCCGGCUAACUACGUG
RNAcentral lists this ribosomal RNA (160 nucleotides) under uncultured bacterium. RNAcentral describes it as "partial 16S ribosomal RNA". It matches the Rfam family "Bacterial small subunit ribosomal RNA", at positions 355 to 507 of the family's 1533-position model. The record is from RNAcentral.